RNAcentral lists this ribosomal RNA (1098 nucleotides) under Salmonella enterica subsp. enterica serovar Anatum. RNAcentral describes it as "partial 23S ribosomal RNA". It matches the Rfam family "Bacterial large subunit ribosomal RNA", at positions 1 to 1502 of the family's 2925-position model. Lineage: Bacteria; Pseudomonadati; Pseudomonadota; Gammaproteobacteria; Enterobacterales; Enterobacteriaceae. The record is from RNAcentral.
CCACCACUAAGCCAGUGGUGAACUCCACAUACGCAUCCUUUGCUGAGGAUACGGUUAACGGAGCGAAAGCGACGUUCAACCGCAAAACAAGCAGAGGGGGCUUAGUGGUGGGGUGACUGCGUACCUUUUGUAUAAUGGGUCAGCGACUUAUAUUCUGUAGCAAGGUUAACCGAAUAGGGGAGCCGGAGGGAAACCGAGUCUUAAUUGGGCGUUAAGUUGCAGGGUAUAGACCCGAAACCCGGUGAUCUAGCCAUGGGCAGGUUGAAGGUUGGGUAACACUAACUGGAGGACCGAACCGACUAAUGUUGAAAAAUUAGCGGAUGACCUGUGGCUGGGGGUGAAAGGCCAAUCAAACCGGGAGAUAGCUGGUUCUCCCCGAAAGCUAUUUAGGUAGCGCCUCGUGAAUUCAUCUCCGGGGGUAGAGCACUGUUUCGGCUAGGGGGCCAUCCCGGCUUACCAACCCGAUGCAAACUGCGAAUACCGGAGAAUGUUAUCACGGGAGACACACGGCGGGUGCUAACGUCCGUCGUGAAGAGGGAAACAACCCAGACCGCCAGCUAAGGUCCCAAAGUCAUGGUUAAGUGGGAAACGAUGUGGGAAGGCCCAGACAGCCAGGAUGUUGGCUUAGAAGCAGCCAUCAUUUAAAGAAAGCGUAAUAGCUCACUGGUCGAGUCGGCCUGCGCGGAAGAUGUAACGGGGCUAAACCAUGCACCGAAGCUGCGGCAGCGAACGUAUCACUUAAAGCGAUUCAGCGGGUUACGAUUGACGGAGCGAAGCGACGUCAAAGCGUAUACAAAGUCGAGUCGGUUUAAGGAUACGUUCGUUGGGUAGGGGAGCGUUCUGUAAGCCUGUGAAGGUGGCCUGUGAGGGUUGCUGGAGGUAUCAGAAGUGCGAAUGCUGACAUAAGUAACGAUAAAGCGGGUGAAAAGCCCGCUCGCCGGAAGACCAAGGGUUCCUGUCCAACGUUAAUCGGGGCAGGGUGAGUCGACCCCUAAGGCGAGGCCGAAAGGCGUAGUCGAUGGGAAACGGGUUAAUAUUCCCGUACUUGGUGUUACUGCGAAGGGGGGACGGAGAAGGCUAUGUUGGCCGGGCGACGGU